This 1420-nucleotide ribosomal RNA is filed under the name Klebsiella variicola. Its description in RNAcentral is "16S ribosomal RNA". It matches the Rfam family "Bacterial small subunit ribosomal RNA". Lineage: Bacteria; Pseudomonadati; Pseudomonadota; Gammaproteobacteria; Enterobacterales; Enterobacteriaceae. The record is from RNAcentral.
ACAGAGAGCUUGCUCUCGGGUGACGAGCGGCGGACGGGUGAGUAAUGUCUGGGAAACUGCCUGAUGGAGGGGGAUAACUACUGGAAACGGUAGCUAAUACCGCAUAACGUCGCAAGACCAAAGUGGGGGACCUUCGGGCCUCAUGCCAUCAGAUGUGCCCAGAUGGGAUUAGCUAGUAGGUGGGGUAACGGCUCACCUAGGCGACGAUCCCUAGCUGGUCUGAGAGGAUGACCAGCCACACUGGAACUGAGACACGGUCCAGACUCCUACGGGAGGCAGCAGUGGGGAAUAUUGCACAAUGGGCGCAAGCCUGAUGCAGCCAUGCCGCGUGUGUGAAGAAGGCCUUCGGGUUGUAAAGCACUUUCAGCGGGGAGGAAGGCGGUGAGGUUAAUAACCUCAUCGAUUGACGUUACCCGCAGAAGAAGCACCGGCUAACUCCGUGCCAGCAGCCGCGGUAAUACGGAGGGUGCAAGCGUUAAUCGGAAUUACUGGGCGUAAAGCGCACGCAGGCGGUCUGUCAAGUCGGAUGUGAAAUCCCCGGGCUCAACCUGGGAACUGCAUUCGAAACUGGCAGGCUAGAGUCUUGUAGAGGGGGGUAGAAUUCCAGGUGUAGCGGUGAAAUGCGUAGAGAUCUGGAGGAAUACCGGUGGCGAAGGCGGCCCCCUGGACAAAGACUGACGCUCAGGUGCGAAAGCGUGGGGAGCAAACAGGAUUAGAUACCCUGGUAGUCCACGCUGUAAACGAUGUCGAUUUGGAGGUUGUGCCCUUGAGGCGUGGCUUCCGGAGCUAACGCGUUAAAUCGACCGCCUGGGGAGUACGGCCGCAAGGUUAAAACUCAAAUGAAUUGACGGGGGCCCGCACAAGCGGUGGAGCAUGUGGUUUAAUUCGAUGCAACGCGAAGAACCUUACCUGGUCUUGACAUCCACAGAACUUUCCAGAGAUGGAUUGGUGCCUUCGGGAACUGUGAGACAGGUGCUGCAUGGCUGUCGUCAGCUCGUGUUGUGAAAUGUUGGGUUAAGUCCCGCAACGAGCGCAACCCUUAUCCUUUGUUGCCAGCGGUCCGGCCGGGAACUCAAAGGAGACUGCCAGUGAUAAACUGGAGGAAGGUGGGGAUGACGUCAAGUCAUCAUGGCCCUUACGACCAGGGCUACACACGUGCUACAAUGGCAUAUACAAAGAGAAGCGACCUCGCGAGAGCAAGCGGACCUCAUAAAGUAUGUCGUAGUCCGGAUUGGAGUCUGCAACUCGACUCCAUGAAGUCGGAAUCGCUAGUAAUCGUAGAUCAGAAUGCUACGGUGAAUACGUUCCCGGGCCUUGUACACACCGCCCGUCACACCAUGGGAGUGGGUUGCAAAAGAAGUAGGUAGCUUAACCUUCGGGAGGGCGCUUACCACUUUGUGAUUCAUGACUGGGGUGAAGU